GAUGAACGCUGGCGGCGUGCCUAAUACAUGCAAGUCGAGCGAACGGACGAGAAGCUUGCUUCUCUGAUGUUAGCGGCGGACGGGUGAGUAACACGUGGAUAACCUACCUAUAAGACUGGGAUAACUUCGGGAAACCGGAGCUAAUACCGGAUAAUAUUUUGAACCGCAUGGUUCAAAAGUGAAAGACGGUCUUGCUGUCACUUAUAGAUGGAUCCGCGCUGCAUUAGCUAGUUGGUAAGGUAACGGCUUACCAAGGCAACGAUGCAUAGCCGACCUGAGAGGGUGAUCGGCCACACUGGAACUGAGACACGGUCCAGACUCCUACGGGAGGCAGCAGUAGGGAAUCUUCCGCAAUGGGCGAAAGCCUGACGGGGCAACGCCGCGUGAGUGAUGAAGGUCUUCGGAUCGUAAAACUCUGUUAUUAGGGAAGAACAUAUGUGUAAGUAACUGUGCACAUCUUGACGGUACCUAAUCAGAAAGCCACGGCUAACUACGUGCCAGCAGCCGCGGUAAUACGUAGGUGGCAAGCGUUAUCCGGAAUUAUUGGGCGUAAAGCGCGCGUAGGCGGUUUUUUAAGUCUGAUGUGAAAGCCCACGGCUCAACCGUGGAGGGUCAUUGGAAACUGGAAAACUUGAGUGCAGAAGAGGAAAGUGGAAUUCCAUGUGUAGCGGUGAAAUGCGCAGAGAUAUGGAGGAACACCAGUGGCGAAGGCGACUUUCUGGUCUGUAACUGACGCUGAUGUGCGAAAGCGUGGGGAUCAAACAGGAUUAGAUACCCUGGUAGUCCACGCCGUAAACGAUGAGUGCUAAGUGUUAGGGGGUUUCCUCCCCUUAGUGCUGCAGCUAACGCAUUAAGCACUCCGCCUGGGGAGUACGACCGCAAGGUUGAAACUCAAAGGAAUUGACGGGGACCCGCACAAGCGGUGGAGCAUGUGGUUUAAUUCGAAGCAACGCGAAGAACCUUACCAAAUCUUGACAUCCUUUGACAACUCUAGAGAUAGAGCCUUCCCCUUCGGGGGACAAAGUGACAGGUGGUGCAUGGUUGUCGUCAGCUCGUGUCGUGAGAUGUUGGGUUAAGUCCCGCAACGAGCGCAACCCUUAAGCUUAGUUGCCAUCAUUAAGUUGGGCACUCUAAGUUGACUGCCGGUGACAAACCGGAGGAAGGUGGGGAUGACGUCAAAUCAUCAUGCCCCUUAUGAUUUGGGCUACACACGUGCUACAAUGGACAAUACAAAGGGCAGCGAAACCGCGAGGUCAAGCAAAUCCCAUAAAGUUGUUCUCAGUUCGGAUUGUAGUCUGCAACUCGACUACAUGAAGCUGGAAUCGCUAGUAAUCGUAGAUCAGCAUGCUACGGUGAAUACGUUCCCGGGUCU
Molecule: ribosomal RNA, 1372 nt
Filed under: uncultured bacterium
Lineage: Bacteria
Description: bacterial SSU rRNA
Rfam family: Bacterial small subunit ribosomal RNA
Source: RNAcentral